Molecule: long non-coding RNA, 2147 nt
Organism: Meriones unguiculatus (Mongolian gerbil)
Lineage: Eukaryota; Metazoa; Chordata; Mammalia; Rodentia; Muridae
Exons: 4
Source: RefSeq, a predicted model, not a curated record
CUAGAAGCCUUCGGAAGGCUCAUCAUGCCAGAUCUACCCAUGGUUGGUCAACAGUUACUUUUUAACUUCCCUUGAAGCACAUAGAAAGAUAGGGGGAUACAGGGGACAGAAGAAGGGGAAGAAAUCUCCUCGCACUGGGAUCUGAUUGUAUUUUCUGCUGACUGAGAAUCAAGGAAUUCAACAAAACUGGUCCACUGAAAGAAGGAGUUCUAUGACAUCUGCCCAUAGCUUAUCAAGUCUCAUCAGGACUGCCUGGAUCCUCUUUCUCUGUGGCCUGGUCCAUGCUUCCUGUCAGACCUGUGCCAAGACCAACCCACAGGGGGCACUCCAGGUACGUCAGCCUGUGCACCAGCUCCAAGGAUGACAAGUCGGAGAGGACUGGAAGAUUGACUUCACCCACUCUCUCUUACCCCCUGCUGACACUUUCACAGAUUGGAUGGAGGCAUUUCCCACCUCCAUGGAGAUGGCAGAUGGGGUGGCUCAGGUGCUCGCUCCUCCGUUCAGCUUGCCACAGACCAUCCAAACAGACAACAGUCCAGCCUUUACCUCCUGGGUCAUUGAGCUCCUGUCUGAAGCUGUCAACACAUCCUGGAAACUCCACAUCCCCUACCACCCACAAUCCUCGGGAAAGGCUGAGAGCGAACAGACUCAUCAAACAGAGGCUCACCAAGUCUCUGAGCUCAGGUUUAUCUUGGCCUUCCCUUCUCCCCAUUGCCCUCACCCUACUCUGAGCUACCCUGCAUCUCCUACAGGUAUGUUUGAAGUCCCAUAUGAAGGCUGUUCCUUAUGGUCCCUUCUCUGCUCGCAUGCUGCCUGCUCCCAUGCCAAUUGCUCCUGAGUGCCCGGCUCUCCCCAGGGGACUGAGUAUUCCUCAAGCAGUUAUCUCCCAAGUUUCUAGAGUCUCUGUGGAAACAACUCUACCCUGUCAUCCUCACCACUCCUUCAGCCACCAAGCUCCUAGGACACCAGUGCUGGCACCAUGUCUCCAGGCUCAAGAGGGCACCUACCCAAGAUGAGUAGUCUGUCCAACAACUGGGACCUUCCUACUCUCAUUUCUCCAGAAUGGAUGGUCAAACCAGGGUGCCUCCCCCUGGACUGGUGGCAGUCUCCCCUGUCCUAAUGGCUCACUCCAGUAAUAAGACCCCUCAUUCUCACUUGCCCAUUUUUUUCUUUUUACCCCUUGCCUCCUCUGCCUUCUCUAGGACAUAUUCAUGAGGUCUCAUGGGUAACAGUCAGUCAAAUGCUUCUUCACCCAAACCUCAGACCCACCAACUCUCUACUCCCCAACCCAUUGCCAUCCCUUUUCAACAGGAAGUAUCCAGACGUGAAUCUGUGCCCAUACACCCAAGGAGCUCAGAAAGCUCCAAAAUCCCAGAUAAAGGCUCCAAAAAGCCAAGCCCUGCAUUCCUGACAGUUGUCCCAAGCCCUCUCACCUGAAGUCAUCAGCCCCUCCAAGCGCCACCUGAGAUAACCAUACCUGGGCACAAGCUGAGCCUGUGACAGACACAUCAUUUUCCUUUACCUACAAUCUGAAAAUCUUUCCUGUCAUGGUCUGCCCGUGACUUUCUCUGGUCUUGUCCCCUGAGGCUGAGCUUGACCAGGAGCCCAUUCCCAAAUACACCUGUCCUUUUCUUUUCUUUUGGCUUGAAUUGGCUUAAUUUUGUCAGCGGAGAUAGCCUAGCAGUGUACUACAUGUGUUCCUGGUGCCCAUAGAAGCAAAAAGAGUACAUUUGAUCUCCUGGAACUAUAAUUAUAGAAAGGUUGUGAGGCACUGUGGGUGCUGGGAACCAAACCUGGAUCCUUUGGAAAACUAGCCUGUGCUCUUACUACUGAGCUAUCUUUCCAGCCUCUCGUGAUCUACUCCUAAUUUAAAGAUUCUCAUAUCGUUUCUUUCCAUAUUUUGUACAGAGAUUUUGGCUGUAGCGAAUGUCAGAAAUCAGCUGCUUCCCAGCCUGCCCUCAGGGACUGAGCGCCAGAAGCUGCCUAAUCACUAGUUGCCAACCCACUGAAAGGUCCCCACCAUCCCAGGUCCUUCUCUUCUGUCUCCUGAUCUGUCGUCUGUCUGUCUGUCUCUCUCUCUCGCCUCUCUCAUAUUCCCAUACUGAGAGGCCUGCUCUAAUAAAUUUGCUCCCCUGCCCUAAUAAAUC